This 466-nucleotide ribosomal RNA is filed under the name uncultured Thiobacillus sp. Its description in RNAcentral is "bacterial SSU rRNA". It matches the Rfam family "Bacterial small subunit ribosomal RNA", at positions 337 to 795 of the family's 1533-position model. Lineage: Bacteria; Pseudomonadati; Pseudomonadota; Betaproteobacteria; Nitrosomonadales; Thiobacillaceae. The record is from RNAcentral.
GCCUACGGGAGGCAGCAGUGGGGAAUUUUGGACAAUGGGGGCAACCCUGAUCCAGCCAUUCCGCGUGAGUGAAGAAGGCCUUCGGGUUGUAAAGCUCUUUCGGCAGGAACGAAACGGCGGGCUCUAACAUAGCCUGUUAAUGACGGUACCUGAAGAAGAAGCACCGGCUAACUACGUGCCAGCAGCCGCGGUAAUACGUAGGGUGCGAGCGUUAAUCGGAAUUACUGGGCGUAAAGCGUGCGCAGGCGGAUUGUUAAGCAAGACGUGAAAUCCCCGGGCUUAACCUGGGAAUGGCGUUUUGAACUGGCAGUCUAGAGUGCGUCAGAGGGGGGUGGAAUUCCACGUGUAGCAGUGAAAUGCGUAGAGAUGUGGAGGAACACCGAUGGCGAAGGCAGCCCCCUGGGAUGACACUGACGCUCAUGUACGAAAGCGUGGGUAGCAAACAGGAUUAGAUACCCUGGUAGUC